AGGACGAACGCUGGCGGCGUGCCUAACACAUGCAAGUCGAGCGGAGUUAACAAGAGGAAGUUUCGGAUGGAAUUUGUAAUUAGCGGCGGACGGGUGAGUAACGCGUGAGCGACCAACCUUGCACAGGGGGAUAACGGACCGAAAGGUUCACUAAUACCGCAUGAGACCACGGUGUUGCAUGACACAGAGGUCAAAGGAGCAAUCCGGUGCAAGACGGGCUCGCGUCCGAUUAGGUAGUUGGUGGGGUAAUGGCCCCACCAAGCCUAUGAUCGGUAGCCGACCUGAGAGGGUGAUCGGCCACAUUGGAACUGAGAUACGGUCCAAACUCCUACGGGAGGCAGCAGUGGGGAAUAUUGGGCAAUGGGGGGAAAAACCCCUGACCCAGCAACGCCGCGUGAAGGAAGAAGGUUUUCGGAUUGUAAACUUCUGUCCUUGGUGAAGAGAAGAAGACGGUAGCCAAGGAGGAAGCCCCGGCUAACUACGUGCCAGCAGCGGC
Molecule: ribosomal RNA, 496 nt
Filed under: uncultured bacterium
Lineage: Bacteria
Description: bacterial SSU rRNA
Rfam family: Bacterial small subunit ribosomal RNA
Source: RNAcentral